This 95-nucleotide small RNA is filed under the name Mesorhizobium sp. LSHC420B00. Its description in RNAcentral is "Repression of heat shock gene expression (ROSE) element". It matches the Rfam family "Repression of heat shock gene expression (ROSE) element". Rfam says of the family: This family represents a 5' UTR cis-regulatory element found in heat shock mRNAs and is known as the ROSE (repression of heat shock gene expression) element. Lineage: Bacteria; Pseudomonadati; Pseudomonadota; Alphaproteobacteria; Hyphomicrobiales; Phyllobacteriaceae. The record is from Rfam by way of RNAcentral.
CCGGUCGCCGAAAUGGGGCCGGCGAAACCAGGGAGCGCCAGCUCUUUGGCGCUCCUCGUAUCUAUGUUGCUCGAUGGAGGAUGUAGCUAUGAGAA